GCCCACACUCGCAUUUCUUUUCCAGUUUUCGAUAACUGAACGUUUGAACCCAAAUUUAGGAAUGGGCAAAAAAAAAUUUAAUCGCUUUUUGUUUUCCAAUUUUUGUUUAAAUGUUCGAAGCCAAAUGAUGAAUUAGGAUUUAAAAUCUCACGACGGUCGUCUGAGACAAGAUUUCUUGUCGCCAUUGAUGCAGUUAUAAUCCAAUUUCUCUGAUGGUUUCUUCAUAUUUGUGUCGAUAAAGUUUUUCCAUUUAAAUUAUUUCUCUUAAUUACUAUAGUUAUUUUAAAUUUCUUAAUUCUUUUUAUGAUUUUGGUUUAAACGUAGAUGCAGCCGGCGUAAUGACGAUAAACUGAAUUUAUUCCGAUUAAUUCAUGACAGGAAUAUCUAAUCUCCUACUCAUUCUGAAUGCCUACUUUUGAUUCUCUUCUGGUUGCUAUAUUCAUUUUUUUAAAAUUAAUUUACAGCGUUUCGGCAAAAAAGGAGAAAAUAACGAUGGUACGAGAAAUUUUGUGAUAAUUCUAUAUCAUUUUUUGGGUCUGAAGUUUGGCUCUUGGGCACUGAUACAAUGCCUUUGGGAUGAAUCCAGCACCCGAUAUCAGUUCAUUUCUUCAGUUGAAUUCAGGUAUGUCUUUUACAUAUCUACCUGAGCAUCAAGAAGGAAAACAUUAAAAAAAAUUAUAAUAAUUCUCCUUGCGUUUAAAUUGACAAUAUUUUAGUAAAUCUGAAUGAAUUCCAGAUUUUAUUUAUGUGGCAAUUUAGAAAAAUAAAUUUAAGUAGCACUUUAAAUCAUGAUAUAAACCAAAGGAAACCAUUUGGGGUUGAGUAGAUCAGGGUAUACAUGGUUUCAUAUGAUUUUGGUUCCAAGUGAAUUGAACGGGACCAUGAACCAAAUGAUUUUUUUAAUAAUGGAGUCAAAUGGUUCUUUUAAAUAUAUGAAAUCAAACUUAGCCUAACCGCUUGAUUCUGGUUUGGUGCUAAUUUUAUUUUAAAAAUUUUUAGAUUUGUAUCAUAUAAAUUAGUAAUGUAUUAUCUAAAUAAGAAAAUAAUUAUCAAACAUUUAGAAAGUUUAAAUUUCAAUCAUCAAAAUCAAAAAAGUUAUAAUUAACAAGCAAAAUAUAUUUAUAAUUUGAAUAUACAGAUCAGUUUUCGAUUUUAUAAAAAAAAAUUGUUUAAUAAGUAAUAACAAUAAUUUAUUAAAUUAAUUGCAAUAGUUUUGAAGGUACACUUCUACAAUAAAAUAUGAAUCAUCAAAUUUUUUAUGGUCUAAUUUUAUAGGCUACAUUAAUCAUUUAAUAUUUCAUAAAUGUUUUAUUGGAUUUUCUUCUAUUGAAGAACACAAAUAAUUUUUGAAGUAACCGAUAAAUUUCAUUUUUUGAUUUUAAAUGAUACUCCAUUGACCUAAUGAAAUGUAUAUACGACAUUGUGUAAAUUGAAAAUGAGUGAAGGAAAAAUAAUUCAACUGAAUGUAAAAUUAGGAUAUGUUGACAACUAAUGAAUUUUUAUUUUUAAUGACCUAAAAUUGAUUAAUAAAUUUUAUUCAAUUAAUGAGCUAUCUUCUAUAAAAAUAAAUUAGGGUCUUCAUUAAUUAUUAUAUAUAAAAUUAAAUAUUAAGUUAGGUUCUGAGUGUGGUUUUGAUUUUUGAACUAGAAUUGAACUAAAAUUAAAAUCAAAUGGUUCUCUGUCCAAAUAAUCAAAACCACUAAUUUUUUUUGAUAAAAUCAAAAUGAAUUACUUGAUUUGGUCUGGUUUGGUUUGUACAUUUUGUCCAACCUUACAGUAGAUAGAAAAUAUCUCGAAGAAACCAACAAUGUUACAAAUUUAUAAAUUAGAUGGUGACGUUAUCAAAUGUAAAAAGUCGGUGAUCAACGUGCAGUAGCAUUAAAAUUCUUGAAUCAACGGUGUUAUUUUUUACUAGAAAGCCCAUUGAGAUUGUAUAAUUUUCUAAUUUUCUUUCCAAAUAACUAAUUGCCUUAAUGUAAUUAGUUGUGCUGAAUUUUCUUAAUCAAAUAAGUAGUUCUUAAGAAGAGUAAUGUUAUGUAGUUUUACUGGAAUUGCAAUUGCAAUUUCAAUUUAGAUGGUAUUAGAUAUGAAAUUAAAUGAGUUAUUUAAUUAUAUCUUUAUCAAUUAAUAUUAUAUUAGCGUAAUUUGGAUUGUGGUUGUAACCAUAGUGAGGUUAAAUUGCAUUACUUUAUUAAGAAACACCGUGUUAUAAAAAGUUUGGGGAGAUACACACGACAUAAAAGUAAUUGUAAUUUUCAAAUAAAUAAUUUUUAUUAUUGAAAUAAAAAAUUAAAAAGAGUUUCGCUACAAAACUUGGGAUUAAAUUUUGGGUUUAAAUCCAAGGUUGAGAUGGUUGAUCUUGAAUUUCAUGAGACCUGCAACAUAACAAUCAAGGGCAGCCAACACUCUGGCCUGUCAUUGUCUUUGUUUGAAUGGCAAAAUUGAAAUAAAAAUAACUUAAUUAUCAGCACAUAUUUUUUUGAGUGCUCUCUAACAAACUAAAUAAUGCGCACAAACAAUUGUGGCUGUAUGAAACUGAACAAAAAAUAAUUAAAUCUCAUCUAAUCAUUAUUCGAAUUAUUUAGGGUUUGCUGCUUGGUGUAAUUAAUAUAGGUAUUAGAUUAAUCUGAAUGUUUAAUUUUCUUUAAUCAACCCAUACUAAUAUGCUGUAGUAUGAAAUGGGAGGGAAAAUACCCAAAAUUCUGCGUGAAGUAUAUUAUUCAAAAAUAAAGAGAAUUAGUUCUAAUUUUACAAAUUAAGUGAUUAUGAAGAUUAAUUAAAUUGCACCCUUACAUUCCACCCACCCACUUCACCCCAUUCUAUCGCUUAAAUUGAAAUUUUUUCAAGGAUUAUGUUAUUUGUACUUAAUAAGGUACAUAAGAGAUUACAUAAAAUGAUGUGAAGAGAAAAAAUUAAAUGAAAAUUUUGAUUAUGUUUUAAACUAGAGUGACACAUGUCAUUACGUUAUUCAUGGAAACAGGGAGGAUAUGGGAUAAGUCGGUUAUUUGUAUUCUUGUCUUGUUGGUUAUUUUUAUUUUCUUGUCUUGUCCCCAUAUUCGGUUAAAAAGGGAUGGGGUGAGAUCGAGGUGGGUAGGUCCCUCGCACCAUUUGUUGCCUCAUUUAUUUUUUGUUUGUUUUUUUAUAUUUUGAGUUAGUGUAUAUAUAUAUAUAUAUAUUUUUUUUUUUUUUUUCCCAAUUUGUUAAGAACAACUUACGUUUCUUUAAAAAUGAUUAUAAGGGCUCAUUUGAUUCUCAAUUUUAUGAAAUUGCAUUUUUUUUAUCAUACAUUUUUCAUUAAAAUAAGAUUACAGGUAAAAAAAAAAAAAUCCUUAUUUUUCGUUCACACAUUCUUUAUCAAUCUACUAUUCUAAAAUUCAUUUUUAAAAAAAAAAAAAAAAAAAAAGGGUGUCAACACACUCUGUAAAUCUUUUAUUUUUGUUCGAUGAAAAAUUAAAUUUGAAGUGAACUUUAAAAGGAACGGGUAGCAGAGGUUAUGUUUCCCGUACUUGCUUUGGGACAAUGGCUUUCACCUCGUCCUUGCCCUGUUUACUCAGUUAGGCGGGUAAUCUUUGCUCCAUCUGAGGUAGGGCCAUAGGUAUUGGGUUUAAUGAGUGUUUUUUAUUUUUUAUUUUGCCAUCCCUACUAUAUUAGGUAAAAGUUGAUGUACAUGUAACCAUGUUCUUUUUCCAAAUCAAUCACUCUACUCUUUCCAAAUCAAUUCAUUGAACAAAAAACUUUUGUCUCUAUAUAUACAUACACAAACAAAUAUAUACAUAUAAAUGUGUCUCUCACUCACUUUUUAUUUCUAUAUAUCACUCUCACUUUCUCUUUCUUCUUCAAAUAAACCCUCUUUCUUUCUCUCUAAUUUAAACAAAAUGAGUAUUCAAAAAAUAGAUCCUCGAUUACAACUGAGUUUACCACUAGGUUUUAGAUUUCACCUGACUGAUAAAGACCUCAUGAUGCAAUACUUCUACUUGAAAAUUGUCGGCCACCAUUUUUUUUAAACAAAUCAUCGAAGAGAAAUUAGAUUUGUGGGAUCUUCUCGGUACGUAAUUUAUCUUGCAAUAACGAAAUUAUUUGUUUUAAUGGAUUUUCAGCCCUUGUUUGAUUUCCAUUCUUUGGAGAAAAUUUCAAAGAAUUCUUCAACAGUGUUUUGACAUAAUUUUAACCACACAUUUUUCAAUAAAAUAAUAUUACACGUAAAUUUAAAAUCUUUCAUUAUUUUUUAAUUAUAUAUUUCACAUCAAUACACUAUUUAAAAAUUCAUUUUUUUCCAUCAAAAUGGAGCUCAAAGAAGGUCUCGGUGUUUCAUUUCUAAUUUUUGGCUGGGCCUACAAUUUUUGACUAUUUUAUUUAGAUUUGAAUUGGAGUGGAGAGUGUUACACUUCUACUCAAAAAUUGUCGGCCACCAUUUUUUUAAACAAAUAAUCGAAGAGAAAUUUGAUUUGUGGGAUCUUCCCAAUACGCAUUUUAUCUCGCAAUAAUGAAAUUAUCCGUUUCAAUGGAUUUUCAGUGUUUGAUAUCUGAUUUUUGGUUGAGCCUACAAUUUUUGACUAUUUUAUUUAGAUUUGAAUUGGAGGUGGAGAGUGUGAUGGAUUUAAGGUGGAGGUGGAAGUGAUGAUGGUAGUGAAUUUGAGGUAAAGAUAGUAUUUAUAGGUGAUCAGACCCUUGGUUGAGAGCGAGUUUUGAUCAUAGGAUGGACCAUUUGAUCGUACAGUUUGGAUAGUAGUUGAAGGUGUUAUGGUGGUGUGUGAAAAUCAUUUGAUCAUUAAAAAUGUCAUAGAGAUUAAUGUUUGCUUGUUGAGCCGUGCGAUUUUAUAGGAAUUAUUGUAUCAUCGGAAGUCAUGUGGCACUUGGAAGAAUAACGUACUGAUACUCUAGCCAUAAGGUUUUUUAGCUUGUAAGUUGGUUAUAUUUUGGUUUCGUAUGACUUUAAAGCUGCCAUAUGGCUCGUAAGCCAUGUGAUGUAUCUUCAAAAAAUUAUCGCACGACCCGUCGAGCUGUGCAAUUUUUUCUUAUUUAUUUAUUUAUGUAUAUGUAUUUUUAAAUUUUGUGUCACUAUAUAUAUUUAUAUAUGUAUAUAAUUAUUUUAUUAUUAAUUUAUCUUCAAGCCGCGUGGCUUUAAUGUGUUAUCAUGCCCCAUACGAAAUACGAAAAUAAAAAAAGAAUAAAUUUUUUUGCUAGAUUCCUUAUUUCCGUGGCAUUGUAGUUUUGACAUUUAAAUUCGAAAUUAAAACGAGAAAAAUUAGAAUUUUUGCUUAAUCAUUUUAUGUUACCACACAUGGUAAGCUCAACAAAGGUGGCAUGCAUGCAUGCAUGCAACUUUAACUACCACUCAGCAAUUGACAAGUGGUAACCCCAUUCUUUUUUUUUCCUCUCAUUAAUUCGAUUGGUAAUGUCUAUCCUAAUAAAAAAAUCAUUGAUUCGUCUAGAUCACGUGAUAUGCAUCGCUUGGUUUACCAGUCCAAUCGAUAAGUCUAUUCAUUGAAAAGGAAAGAUUGUUGAUCCGUUGGGGAAGUGCGGCAUGCAUUGUUUGGUGUACUAGUUCGAUCAAUAAAUAUAUCCAUUUGAAAGGAAAUAUUAUUGAUCCAUCUUGACCAUGCGAUAUGCAUGCCCAGUUCGUUAGUCCGACUGAUAAAUAUAUUCAUUUGAAAGGAAAGAUUGUUGAUCCCUAUUGGCCACACGGCAUGCAUUGCCUGGUUCAUUAGUCCGACCGAUAAAUGUAUCCAUUCGAAAGGAAAGACUGUUGAUCCAUUUUGACCACGCGACAUACAUUGCUUGGUGCACUAGUUGGACCAAUGUGCAUUUUCAACUGCAUGGUUGAGUAUACCCAUUUGGUCAGAUGAUUUUGAACAAAUUUAUGAAUUCAUUUUUCAACUCGUUUUGCGUGUCAAAUUUUACAAUUUAAAGCUUCACGUCCUUCAUUUUUCAAGUGACUUGGGUAGACUUCAAGAAGCUUCAGAGAUUAAUUUUUCUCCUCUGUUCUUCAAGUUCUUGCCUUGUUUUCGAAUGUUUUUGAGUAUUCUUCAAACACUUUUUUCAAGUUUUUCGAUGGUUGCAUUGAUUUUGAUUCGGUGCUUUGAGAAUUUGAUCCACCACAGAGUAAAAUUGUUAGUGAAUAGAUUUUUUUUUUUUUUUUAUGAACAAUGGAUUGGAACGAGUUUUAUGAAGUUUCGUAACGAAUUCCGAGCGAGCCUUGGCCGACCAGAGGUUCAAGUAGGUCUAACAAUCCAGCAAAAACUCUUGGCUAGGUAAUUAUAUGAGUUCGAAUCGUCCGGAUGGACAACACUAGUGGGGUUUGUUGGCAAUUGCUUUGUUCAUCUUAAAAGAUUGAUCAACAGAGCGUAGGUAUUAAUUGCGAUUUGAUCGAUCUAAAUUUGACGGUGGCCAUCCUAGACACAGUCAAUGUGAACGGAGUCGUCCUAGCGGUAGUGAUAUCAUGUAUUGAGCAAGCUGACUAAGAAUUGCUUGACUAGAAUUCAGGAUACCUAUGGUUUUUCAGCAUCGGUGGAACUUCGUUUGUCACGGUCGCAUGAAAGAUUUUCAUGGGAUAUCUUUCUAUGAGUUUGUCAUUUAAAGAUGGCUUUCGAUUUUCGAUUCCUCACGUGGUUGAGAUGGUAUUGGAGUAUUUUGAGAUUGCACCUAGUGAACUUAUUCCUAACUCUUAGUGAUUGCUUUUAGCUCUCCAAAUCUUGAUUGCGUAGUACAAUAUUUCAUUUAGCAUGUUGGAAUUGUUGCAUAGUUACUUUAUAAGGGAACAUAAUGGUGAGAAAUGUCAAUUUUUCUUAAAUGCAAGGAAAAAAUCGAUCGAUUGAGAGUUGUUCUUUUUUCUGGGGAUAAAGACUAGAAAGUAUCUUAUUUUCUCACAUCAAGCAAUUUGGUUCGAUCAAAGAAUCACAGUUUCUCUUCAACGUGAUUACAUGAUGAGUUUUGCAGAUCGCUUACUUUUAGUGCACUUUACUGAUUCGAGAUUCUUAUUUCAUUUUCUUGUAGGCCUUCACAUCAACAUGCGGCCUGUCGAAAGUUUGUUAAAAAGUGUAUUUUUGAGAUCUUAGCGAUACCUAAGGAUCAAAGAGAUUGUCAGUUCCUUCUGUCUUCAGAGGUCCUUUCUUCCAGUAGCUUAUGGGAGCAUACUUCAGCAGAAUCAAGAGGUAUUCCUUUUGAUUUUUCAAGACAUAAGAUUCUUAUUAUUAUGGGAAAAAGAGGUAUGGGAAUUCUUGGUAGUAACCUUUCUUUGAGCGGUCUGCUUAACUCGACUGAUCGUAAGAUUGCAGAUCAAAUCAUGUCAAGAGUGAUAGGACCUUCGCUUGACGCUUUGGAGAGGAGAAAGCGGUAGAGAAAUUUAACAAAAUCUCUUCUUAUACGACACUAGCUGACAUUCCAAUACCAUCUGAUGAUUUUUUAGAGCCAGAUCGAGCUGCCUAAUUUUCCCUCUUGUUAAUCCGAAAACGCGAUCAUUUGGGGCCAUUGUUGGCAAUGAUGAUUCGAUCGUGCUUACCAUUCCUUCCGAUUCAUCUGCAUUCUCUAAUUAGGGGAUGGUGGCACUUCACGAAGGUCUUUUAUUUUUUGAAGAUUAGACACGCUAUGAGCAAAUUACAUCGGAGACCCUAACAUGUCUUUGCUCUUAGGAGAUUCACCAAGUGGGAAAAACGUAUUACUCAUCAAAGAAUUGAAACGUUCCUCAUCUGUAGGGAUGUGGAAAACCUUAACCUAAGGGAGAAGAUCUGAUACAAAUGUCAAAAAUUAUUUGGAAUCCCAUAUAAGGGUAGCUCUACCAUCACCAUCAAACCAAUCCAAACGAAGGAAAUGUAAGUACGAUCUAAUCAUCAUCAAUCAACAAUGGCCCCGAAUGACCGCACUUUCAAAUCAACGAGAAGGGAGCAUCAUUCAGCUCGGUCUGGCUCGAAAAAUAUCGGACGGGAUUAGAGUGUCAGCUAGCAUCGUAUAAGGAUAAAUUUUCUUAGACUUUUCUUUUGCCUUUCUCAUAUCCAAAGCGUCAAGCGAAGAUCUCAUCACUCUUUACAUAAUUCAAUCUGCAAUCUCACGAUAAGUCGAGUAAAGCGGAUCGCUCAAAGGAAGGUUACUACCAAGAAUUUUCAUACCUCUCUUUGCCAUUAUAAUAGGGAUCUUAUGUCUUGAAAAAUUAGAAGGAAUAUUUCUUGAUUAUGCUGAAGUAUGUUCCUAUGAGCUACUGGAAGAAAGGACCUCUGAAUACAAAAGGAACUGGCAAAUCUCUUAGAUCCUUGGGUAUCGCAAAGAUCUUAGAAAUGUGCUCUUUUACAAACAAGCCUUUGAAAGUUGGGUGUUGAUGUGAAGACCUAUAAGAAAAUGAAAUAAGAAUCUCGAAUCAGUAAAGUACAUUAAAAGUAAGCGAUCUACAAAACUCAUCGUGUGACCACGUUGAAGGGAAACUAUAAUUCUCCGACCGAACCAAAUUGCCUGACGAGAGAAAGUAAGAUCCUUUCCAGUCUUUAUCUCUAGAAGCAAGAUCAACUACCAAUCUAUCGAUAUUUUUCUUUGUAUUUAAGGAAAAUCGACCUUUCGCACCAUCGUGUUCCCUUAUGAAGUAACCAUGUAGUAGUUCUGUCAUGCUAAAUGAGAUAUCGUGUUGUUCAGUCAAGACUUGGAGAGCUAAGAGCAAUCGCUUAGAGUUAGGCAUGCUCUAACAUCAUCCCAACCACGUGAGGAAUCAAAAGCCAUCUUUAUAUGGUAACUCAUAGAAAAACGUCCAACUUAGGACAUUCUAACUCUUUCGUGCGGUCGUGGCAAACGAAGUUUCAUCAAUGCUGGAACACCAUUGGCAUCCUGAAUUCUAAUCAAGUCAUUUUCCAUCGGCUUGCUUGGUAUAUUCUUCGUAAAUAUGAUAUCAAUAUCGCUCGGACGGCUCCGUUCACAUAGAUAGUGUCCAGGAUGGCCACCGUCAAGGGUUGGAUCGGGAUUGCUAUUAAUACCGGCACCCUAUGGAUCAAUCUCUUAAGAUGAACGAACUCUCGGAUUGCCAACAAACCCUGCUAGUGUUGGCCUAUCAGGACAAUUCGAACUCAUAUAAUUGUCUAGCUAGGAGUUUUCUUCCAAAUUGUUAGACCUACUCGAACCUGCGAUCGGCAAAAUUUUGGUUGGAAUUUCAUAUGGAACUUCACAAAAGUCACUCUAGUCCAUUGUUCUUUAAAAAACAACUAUCCACUAGCAAUUUUACUCUUUGACGCAUCAAACUCUAGAAACACUGAAUCGAAAUCAAUGCAAUCGUAGAAGAAUUUAAAAUAGUGUUUGAAGAACACUUAAGAACUUUCUAAAACAAAAAAAGAACUUGAAGAACAGAGAAGAGAAACUCGCCAAAAUCUUUAAAGCUUCUUGAAGUCUAUCUAAGUCACUUGAAAAAUGAAGGAUAUGAUAUUUUAAAAUGUAGAAAUUAAAGUUGCAUGCAUGCCAUUUGUUGAGCUUACCACAAGGCAAGUGUCUUGUGUGGGGUAACACAUUAAAGCUGCACGAUUUUCGAGCUGUGCAGACAACAAUUAAUAAUAAAAUAAUUAUAUACGUAUAUAAAUAAGAAAAGGCCUUAUACCAAUUACGGUGGCAAGAAGAAAGUCUUUGCAGUAAGAAAAAGUCUACGUGCCAAUUAAAUUUUGUUUGAAAUUUUUUUUGGCAAAUAGUCUUAUUUUAUUUGUUUAUAGUAAAGUUCUUUAGUAGAAAGUGAUGGAGAAUUCUUUGUGCAAUUUGAAAAAGUCUUUGAGUAAGAAAAAGUCUAUCUAUUAAUUAAGGGAGAAUGACAAAUCUCUUGAAAAAAUCUUUAAGUAAUUUGAAAAGUUUGUCUACUAAUUAAGAGAAAAUGAUAAAAUCUUCUUACUAAUUACAAAGUCUUCAAAUUACGUAGUCAAAAUAGAAAGUUUUCUAAGCAAUUCUAAAAAAUCUACUAAGAUAGUAAAAUCUUAAAAGAAAAUUUUUUCUAUUAGAAAGAGAAUCUUACUAUUUUUAUUUUUAUUUUCUCUUAUAAUUUUUAUGUCUUUUUGCCUUUUUUUAACAGUCUUCAGGAUCUUCUUAUAACUAUUGAAGUUCCUUGAUACUUCAUCCUUGCAAAGUGCUUUACAUUGUUAAUUUCAUAGGUUAUUUCGUUGGUUUAUUUUUUACACAGACCCAAUUAUAUUUACUCACAAUUUCAUUAAAUUUUAAAUUUAAAUAAAUAAUGUCAUGAUUUUUUUCCAACUUGCUUUGCUUGUUUGCAGGAUUCCGAGUACAAUGUUGAUAUAGCAACUAGAUGGUUUGAAGGUCUUGUCAAUAAGGACAUAGUCCUUGCCAAUGAAAUUUAUUCACUUUAAGGGAUCGUCAGGUCAGUUUCUACCCUCUGAUUUGAAGGGUUGAGUAGAAGCCACCAGAAGUUGCACACAACUCCCGGUUAACUAAGGAAAGAUAUUAAAUUCUUGGAUCUGUUGCUUUUAAGAUUUAUCUUGUGAUGUUAAUUUUGAUAUCACUGUACUCUGCAUGCUGAUCGAAACAAGUUGAACCACCUCAUUUGAAGCUUAAGCUGUUAGAUAAAGACAAGUUUAUUCAUUUAAAUUUUGUCUUCAACAAGAUCAAUCGAGGUGUUAAAUAUUUUUUAAUAUAUCUGACUUGCCUAUCAAACUUGACCAAUUGAGAGCUUCUGAAUUUGUGUUUUGCAAGGGCUUUUGUAUCACCAUAUCAUGUAAAACACAUGAUGUCAUCACUUGGCUUGGCUGGACUCCGCUGAAUCCUACUGCAGGAUAGUCAAUAGAUGAACUUUAUAUUCUGAAUUAUGCACUUAUAGUUACAGAUCAAAAUUAGCCGGGUAGUUAGGAUCUCUGAUACUGCAAAGGCUAUUUGCAUUACUGGAAUUCAGUGAGCAGUAUCUUCACCAAAUUGCUUCUUGCAACCUAAAUAUCUGCGACUGAUAAAUGGACUACCAACCAAAAAUAUCUGGAUUCCUUCCAAGGAUUUAGUUUUAUAGAAAAGUGAUGAUUAUGGAGACACGGUUUAUGCACUCAAAUAGGGCUAGGGGCUAUGGUUCAUUGGUUCCUGUCUUCCAAAUAGGAAGGGAAGUGAUGUGACGCACAAAAAUAAUCUUUUUUUACUCCAAAAAUUGUACCUCCAUGACCUAGUAAAACUCAAAAAAACCUUGGCAUGCAAGAAAAGGUGGGCAUUGGCUGGGUUGUCUCGUUUCUGUCUUCUUUCCGUCCUGAAUCAACUAGGGUAAUUUUAGCUCAAUGUUGAAGGUGAUGGUUUUAGUAAGAUUCUUCAUGGCCCUUUGAUUGUAUAAGCAAACGUUUGCUCAAUUGCCUAGCUCUGGCUGCAAGUGGAUAUGCAAAUGUAUUUCAUUCGACUCCUAAUAAGCUUAUUUGCUUUCUAUCUUGGUGAACUUGAUACAGUUUACAUGUUGAUAACAAAAUAUAUGUUUGCAACGGUGUCGAAUGGAUCUCAUUUCUUUUCUCGACGUAGAUUCGUGGUAAUGGUAAACAGCACAAUGUAGUCAAUAUGAUAGCGUUUCAUAGCUUUGUGAAUUUUAUAAUGCUUUUGAAGUGUAUCUUUUAGGGUUGUUCUUGCUGAUGGUAAUUAUCCUUUUUUCUUUUACGACUCAAGGAACUGUGGAAACUGUUAUGGGAAGUACAUUAUGUUGGAAUAAUUUUAUAUGUGGGCUUCACAUUCGAUUGCAAAUUUUACAGGUUAGAUGUAUGGUUCAUGAUAAUAUUUGUGUUUGGGCCAAAUUUAU
This 11719-nucleotide long non-coding RNA is filed under the name Olea europaea subsp. europaea. The stretch from base 118 to 218 matches the Rfam family "Small nucleolar RNA Z161/Z228". The record is from RNAcentral. Lineage: Eukaryota; Viridiplantae; Streptophyta; Magnoliopsida; Lamiales; Oleaceae.